UCUUUAGAAAAAAAGAAAAAACAACUUAUAGGCUAUAUAAAACAUGAAUAGAAUAGAACCGAAUAUGAUAGAAAAAUAAAAUGUAUUUAAAUAUGAAACUACAACCUCGAUUAGGAUGUGGCAAAUCACCUGAAUGAGUCACUGAAUCUUUUAUAAUUAUAUACUUUAUCAUUAUUAAUUAUAUAUCUUUUAUAACUUAUUGAAGUCAUAGGCCUAUAGUGAAAUGUCAUACACUGUAAAUCAGUGGCAUUGCUAAAUUAAAUUAGUUAAUUUAACAAAAUUUUUUUUAUUUCAACUCAAUAUAUAUUUGUGAUGUGAACUCAAAAUCUCAUUAGGUUAAGGGGAACUCAAUCUAAAUAAGUAUAAAUUAAUUUAAUCUAAAAAUUAGCUUAAUUCAUGAUUUCUAACAUUGUUUUUCGAGAAGUCACGUUUGCUUUAUCUCUCUCAAUAUUAAUUAAAUAGCCUUCAUAACUAAAGAUAAUAUAAUAAAUACAUCAAUCUGCUUCAUAUUAAGCAUAGAUCAAUACUUUUAAAGAAAUUAAUUUUACUCGAGACAAAAUAUUAUUUUUCAAAAACCGCGCGCAUUUUUCAGUCAGUCUCAUCCGCCCAUCCCCCACAGCUCACAGUCACGGACGGGAUCACAGCCGGACGGCUCACGACGCGGUCACGGAAAAUAAUAGCUGGACACAGACAAACUGGAGAGACAGCUGACAGGAUGUCGUCAUCUGUAACCGUCACUCGCCACAGUACUCAAGCAAGGGACAAUAAUGGCAUCAGCCAUUCAAGUUAUGAUCCUGGCAGAUCUACUACUAUCUGAAAAGUAGUCUCUGCAGAUUGUUUCAAGAUACACAAGAUGGAGCGUGGGGAGACAGGACAUGGACCACAGUUUUUCAGCACCCACACACCACACUCAAAUUCAUAUAGAAGUCCUCAAUUAUUAAAUGUUGAUAUGAUAGUUUAUAUUUAGCUGUGAAGUUAUAGUUCAUUGUCAUAAAUAUUAAACUACAUAUUAUUAUUAUUAUUAUUAUUAUUUUACAUGAUAUGCAAAUUUCACCAAUUUGUUCAAUGUGUUAAUGAACUUUUUGAAAGUGAUUAUCUUUAAUAAUUCAGAUACCUGUUGAAAUGCACAUGUAAUUAUAUACUUGCUCGUAUCUGGAAGGUUGUGUUAAUAAAAAUGUUGAAAGCAAAUGUUGCAAUACUGCUAAUCUUAAAAUAACAUUUUAUUAAACUAAACUUUGUAAUGUUCCAAAUAAAUGUUUUUAGGAUGUUGUAUUUUUAAGAAAAUGUAGGUGGAAAUAAA
Onychostoma macrolepis is the source of this 1300-nucleotide long non-coding RNA. RefSeq lists it as uncharacterized. NCBI's taxonomy places the organism in Eukaryota, Metazoa, Chordata, Actinopteri, Cypriniformes, Cyprinidae. The record is from RefSeq and is a predicted model, not a curated record. The transcript has 4 exons.